GACGAACGCUGGCGGCGUGCUUAACACAUGCAAGUCGAACGGAAAGGCCCUGCUUUUGUGGGGUGCUCGAGUGGCGAACGGGUGAGUAACACGUGAGUAACCUGCCCUUGACUUUGGGAUAACUUCAGGAAACUGGGGCUAAUACCGGAUAGGAGCUCCUGCUGCAUGGUGGGGGUUGGAAAGUUUCGGCGGUUGGGGAUGGACUCGCGGCUUAUCAGCUUGUUGGUGGGGUAGUGGCUUACCAAGGCUUUGACGGGUAGCCGGCCUGAGAGGGUGACCGGCCACAUUGGGACUGAGAUACGGCCCAGACUCCUACGGGAGGCAGCAGUGGGGAAUAUUGCACAAUGGGCGGAAGCCUGAUGCAGCAACGCCGCGUGCGGGAUGAAGGCCUUCGGGUUGUAAACCGCCUUCGCCUGUGACGAAGCGUGAGUGACGGUAAUGGGUAAAGAAGCACCGGCUAACUACGUG
Molecule: ribosomal RNA, 468 nt
Filed under: uncultured bacterium
Lineage: Bacteria
Description: partial 16S ribosomal RNA
Rfam family: Bacterial small subunit ribosomal RNA
Source: RNAcentral